Molecule: transfer RNA, 73 nt
Filed under: Felis catus (domestic cat)
Lineage: Eukaryota; Metazoa; Chordata; Mammalia; Carnivora; Felidae
Rfam family: tRNA
About the family: Transfer RNA (tRNA) molecules are approximately 80 nucleotides in length. Their secondary structure includes four short double-helical elements and three loops (D, anti-codon, and T loops).
Source: Rfam by way of RNAcentral
GCCUGACUGUCUCAGCUGGUAGAGAAUGUGACUCUUGAUCUCAGGGCCAUGUGUUCAAGCCCCACGUUGGGCA